UGAAGCGAUGAGACCAGAAGAAAGUAAUGAAGUCGGGAAGGAUUCUAUCAAUUUAGAUCAGACCUCAAGGCAAGCUCUCCAAAACAAACUCAACUUCUACAAGAAUAAUGUAAUUACACAAUCAGAACAGGUCUCUGAGCUAAAACCCCCAGAAGCCUCCAGAUGACAUCGGCCCUCCCUCCACCCCCCAGGGGAAUCGUCUAGGGUGGGGUCAUCCGACAGGUGCAAAAAUGAUAAUCCUUGAUGUGUAAAGAGGAUAAACGUGGUUUUAAUCAAAUCAAGAUUUGGUCUUCUGGCUCUACUUCUCCAAGACUACAAGCAUUUCUUCCAGCUUAUCCUGUUACUCUUCCGGUCUUCUGAGAAUAUAGAUGCAAGUACAUGUUCAUAAAGCUUUUAAUCAAAAUACUGUGAAGUGAGAAACUUGCUCCCAUCCGAUCAAAUAUCAUGAUUUCAGUGACUUAUAACAGCAGCUUAUAAGCCGUAACUAAUCUUUGGUUAUUGAUGAAAAAG
Lytechinus variegatus (green sea urchin) is the source of this 510-nucleotide long non-coding RNA. RefSeq lists it as uncharacterized. NCBI's taxonomy places the organism in Eukaryota, Metazoa, Echinodermata, Echinoidea, Temnopleuroida, Toxopneustidae. The record is from RefSeq and is a predicted model, not a curated record. The transcript has 3 exons.